The sequence is a ribosomal RNA, 458 nucleotides long. It matches the Rfam family "Bacterial large subunit ribosomal RNA", at positions 1861 to 2535 of the family's 2925-position model.
GCCCGGUGACAAAGUUUAACGGCUACGGUACCCUGACCGUACGAAGGUAGCAUAAUCACUUGUUCCUUAAAUAGGGACUUGUAUCAACGGCAUCACGAGGGCUGCACUGUCUCCUCUCUUCAAUCAGUGAAACUGAUCCCCCCGUGAAGAAGCGGGGAUUAACCUAUAAGACGAGAAGACCCCAUGGAGCUUUAAACACGUGCUCACACUAUACUUACAUACCCCUUAACUAAAAGCCCUGAGUACAAGUUUUAGGUUGGGGAGACCGCGGAGAACAACCAAACCUCCACGACAAACGGCCCUUAAGUCCUUAUCCACGAGCCACAGCUCUAAGAAUCAACAUACUGAUGAUUAUGACCCGAUAUUAUUCGACUAACGAACCAAGUUACCCUGGGGAUAACAGCGCAAUCUACUUCAAGAGCUCAUAUCGACAAGUAGGUUUACGACCUCGAUGUUGG